RNAcentral lists this ribosomal RNA (506 nucleotides) under uncultured bacterium. RNAcentral's name for it is "partial 16S ribosomal RNA". It matches the Rfam family "Bacterial small subunit ribosomal RNA", at positions 29 to 523 of the family's 1533-position model. The record is from RNAcentral.
AGUGAACGCUGGCGGUAGGCCUAACACAUGCAAGUCGAACGGCAGCACAGGAGAGCUUGCUCUCUGGGUGGCGAGUGGCGGACGGGUGAGGAAUACAUCGGAAUCUACUCUGUCGUGGGGGAUAACGUAGGGAAACUUACGCUAAUACCGCAUACGACCUACGGGUGAAAGCAGGGGACCUUCGGGCCUUGCGCGAUUGAAUGAGCCGAUGUCGGAUUAGCUAGUUGGCGGGGUAAAGGCCCACCAAGGCGGCGAUCCGUAGCUGGUCUGAGAGGAUGAUCAGCCACACUGGAACUGAGACACGGGCCAGGCUCCUACGGGAGGCAGGAGUGGGGAAUAUUGGACAAUGGGCGCAAGGCUGAUCCAGCCAUACCGCGUGGGUGAAGAAGGCCUUCGGGUUGUAAAGCCCUUUUGUUGGGAAAGAAAUCCAGCUGGCUAAUACCCGGUUGGGAUGACGGUACCCAAAGAAUAAGCACCGGCUAACUUCGUGCCAGCCGCCGCCGUAA